RNAcentral lists this unclassified non-coding RNA (233 nucleotides) under Hevea brasiliensis (rubber tree). Lineage: Eukaryota; Viridiplantae; Streptophyta; Magnoliopsida; Malpighiales; Euphorbiaceae. The record is from RNAcentral.
AUACAUACGCAAGUUGCCUCAUAUAAAGGUUCAAGAACAUAAGCUACGUAUCAAUAGUGGUCCUUGAGGAAGUAAGAAGAGCCUGGCUGUAGGUUUUAUGACAAGAUCUCAAAACUGACUCAAUUGCAGCCUUCACUUUUGGGAUGUAGUGGCCAAUACCACGAGCAUGAAGAAUUUCCAAUCCAACAUGCUGGCUGGUAGGAGACAUGACAAUGGCAAGCAAAGCACGAAGA